GCCUGGGUGGCUCAGUCGGUUAAGCGUCUGACUUCAGCUCAGGUCUCGAUCCCACGGUCUGUGAGUUCGAGCCCCGCAUCGGGCU
Felis catus (domestic cat) is the source of this 85-nucleotide transfer RNA. It matches the Rfam family "tRNA". From Rfam's summary of the family: Transfer RNA (tRNA) molecules are approximately 80 nucleotides in length. Their secondary structure includes four short double-helical elements and three loops (D, anti-codon, and T loops). NCBI's taxonomy places the organism in Eukaryota, Metazoa, Chordata, Mammalia, Carnivora, Felidae. The record is from Rfam.